GUCUACAGCCAUGCCACCCUAAAUGUGCCCGAUCUCGUCAGAUCUCGGAAGCUAAGCAGGGUCGGGCCUGGUUAGUACCUGGAUGGGAGACCACCUAGGAAAACCAGGUGCUAUAGGUG
Molecule: non-coding RNA, 119 nt
Organism: Pteropus alecto (black flying fox)
Lineage: Eukaryota; Metazoa; Chordata; Mammalia; Chiroptera; Pteropodidae
Source: Rfam